Hibiscus syriacus is the source of this 275-nucleotide long non-coding RNA. RefSeq lists it as uncharacterized. The transcript has 2 exons. The record is from RefSeq and is a predicted model, not a curated record. NCBI's taxonomy places the organism in Eukaryota, Viridiplantae, Streptophyta, Magnoliopsida, Malvales, Malvaceae.
CGAGGCCGAAGACGCACUAACCGCCUUUUUUUAGCCUCCCUCAAGAACAUAAGCAUUUUCUUUUUCACUAUUCAACCGCAAAAAUGGCAUCCGCCUUCUCAUGCAGAUGCUCCAUAGCCCUCGCCUCGCUUUCCAGGGUCAAGAUGUUUCAAAUGCGUAUAGGCCACAAAUAGCAAACUCAUGGUCUGGUUUCUCCCGAGGUCGAACUUUAAACUCUUGUGGAAGAGCCCUGACAUCAAAACUAAACUAUGCACCAAGUUUCCCUGCUACCUGUC